RNAcentral lists this ribosomal RNA (402 nucleotides) under uncultured bacterium. RNAcentral's name for it is "bacterial SSU rRNA". It matches the Rfam family "Bacterial small subunit ribosomal RNA", at positions 355 to 748 of the family's 1533-position model. The record is from RNAcentral.
UGGGGAAUAUUGCGCAAUGGGCGAAAGCCUGACGCAGCGACGCCUCGUGAGGGAUGAAGGUCUUCGGAUCGUAAACCUCUGUCAAGAGGGAAGAAACCCUUGAGUUCGAACAGGGCUCUUGGCUGACGGUACCUCUAAAGGAAGCACCGGCUAACUCCGUGCCAGCAGCCGCGGUAAUACGGAGGGUGCAAGCGUUAAUCGGAAUCACUGGGCGUAAAGCGCUCGUAGGCGGUUUGGUCAGUCAGAUGUGAAAGCCCUCGGCUUAACCGGGGAACUGCAUUUGAUACUGCCAGACUUGAGUGUCGGAGAGGGUGGCGGAAUUCCGGGUGUAGGAGUGAAAUCCGUAGAUAUCCGGAGGAACACCAGUGGCGAAGGCGGCCACCUGGACGACAACUGACGCUG